UUUCUUAUCAAAGCUUUUGCGGUAUAGGAUGGACCCGCGUCUGAUUAGCUAGUUGGUAAGGUAACGGCUUACCAAGGCGACGAUCAGUAGCCGACCUGAGAGGGUGAUCGGCCAACAUUGGAACUGAGACACGGUCCAAACUCCUACGGGAGGCAGCAGUGGGGAAUAUUGCACAAUGGGCGAAAGCCUGAUGCAGCAACGCCGCGUGAGCGAUGAAGGCCUUCGGGUCGUAAAGCUCUGUCCUCAAGGAAGAUAAUGACGGUACUUGAGGAGGAAGCCCCGGCUAACUACGUGCCAGCAGCCGCGGUAAUACGUAGGGGGCUAGCGUUAUCCGGAAUUACUGGGCGUAAAGGGUGCGUAGGUGGUUUCUUAAGUCAGAGGUGAAAGGCUACGGCUCAACCGUAGUAAGCCUUUGAAACUGAGAAACUUGAGUGCAGGAGAGGAGAGUAGAAUUCCUAGUGUAGCGGUGAAAUGCGUAGAUAUUAGGAGGAAUACCAGUUGCGAAGGCGGCUCUCUGGACUGUAACUGACACUGAGGCACGA
This 542-nucleotide ribosomal RNA is filed under the name uncultured Bacillota bacterium. Its description in RNAcentral is "bacterial SSU rRNA". It matches the Rfam family "Bacterial small subunit ribosomal RNA", at positions 194 to 756 of the family's 1533-position model. The record is from RNAcentral. Lineage: Bacteria; Bacillati; Bacillota.